Long non-coding RNA from Cucurbita moschata (crookneck pumpkin), 1589 nucleotides. RefSeq lists it as uncharacterized. The transcript is spliced from 2 exons. The record is from RefSeq and is a predicted model, not a curated record. NCBI's taxonomy places the organism in Eukaryota, Viridiplantae, Streptophyta, Magnoliopsida, Cucurbitales, Cucurbitaceae.
UUCUACUCGUUUGUUAUUGUUAUUAUUAUUAUUAUUAUUUUUGUUUUAUUGCCUACUAGCAUUUUUCUAACCAUUAACAAGUAUCAGAAGAAGUGGUAGAAGUCUUAUGUAAUAGAUGGGAUACUUUAGGUUCUUUUAAGGGUUAGGUCCCAUGAACUUGUGGGGUUCCAUUCACCAGGAUAACAUGCCAUCAUCAUAAAUAACCACAAAAAUUCCUUGUCCUAGGAACAAAAUUCUCCAUUGUUGACAUUGACCUAGAAUCGGACGAUGAAUAUGCAUCUAGCCCCCUACCUCUCUCCACCACCCCAACAUCCCCCAUUGCGAAUAAGGCCAACACCUCUCACCCAUGGCUAGAGAUCACUCUUGCGGAUACAGAGCUUGACACUCUUUUUCAAGAAAAGUAGAAUGAAAUAGAGGUAGAAAGGGUCACCCCGAUAUUAGAAACACUCACACCAAUAAUGGCCAUCCAAAUCUUGGCACCAUGGCUAAAAGAACACCACAUGUGCAUCAUGGCUAUUUCAUCGGGGAAAAAGAAGCCCACUACGGCCAAGAAAUCGAGUAAACUAACUAGAGAGAUUGACCAAAGGCCCAACUUUGAUCAUGGCUAUUCCAUCCGAGCAUCUAAAUCAUGUGGAAUGACCCAACUUUGAUCAUUUCAAAAGUCACCAAAGGCUUAUACACCUUUAACCACACAUAUUACACGGGCUGAUAAUUACAGAUUUUGGAUUACAGGAAUCUAUGGUCCCUAUAGAUAUUACGGAAGACAUCUAUUCUGGCAAGAAUUACCGGACCUAUCAUGCCUAUGUAUAGAGAAUUGGCUUUUGGCGGGUGACUUCAAUAUCUCUCGAUGGGCACAUGAAAAAUCUAGUGGAAAAGUCCAGAGGCAUGAGACACUUCAACAAUUUCAUAAGAGAAGCUGAACUAAUCGACCUUCCCCUCAAUAAUGGACUCUAUACAUGGUCAAACAACAUAUUUUCACCCCCCUUGACACUCAUCGCUAAAUUCCUUGCCACAAAAGGCCUACUUAGAAAAUUUACUAACGUCGGUGUUCAAAGACUGAAUAGACCUACAUCUGAUUAUUAUCCCACCCUACUUUCCAUGGGGUGCUCUAAAUGGGGCCUUUCGCCCUUCCGAUUCGAGAAUAUGUGGUUGAACCAUUUUGAAUUUUUGCAAAUGGUAGAAUAUAGGUGGAAGAAUACGCCCCUCUGUGGAUGGUCGGGGCAUGAUUUCAUCAACAAACUUUAAAGACUAAAAGAAGUCUCAAAGAAAUGGAACAAGGAGGAAUUGUAUUUCCACAAAAAGAAACCAACUACUAAUUGAAAUUUCUCUCCUCGAUCAGAUGGAAGAAAUUGGCUCAAUUACACUAGUUCAACACAUACCAAAAAAAAAAAAAAAAGAAAAAUUCAUGAAAGCAGAACUUAUUAUGUUGGCAGCAAAGGAAGAGUACUCUUGGAGACAAAAAUGUAAAAUGAUGGUCAGAGGAGGGUGACACAAACUCCAAAUUUUUUCAUUAUAUCAUGGCUACAAAGAAACAUAAGAGUGCCAUCAUGGAAAUUCUAUCCACACAAGGCAGAAGUUUAGUAAACGAA